GAGAGGCCCGACCGUCCUCCUCACUGUGGCUCUGCCCACGCUCCUGGCUCCCAGGGCCGGGGCACCGGUACAAAGUCAGGGCUCCCGGAACAAGCUGCUCCUGGUGUCCUUCGACAGCUUCCGCUGGAACUACGAGCAGGACGUGGACACCCCCAACCUGGACGCCAUGGCCCGAGAUGGGGUGAAGGCACGCUACAUGACCCCCGCCUUUGUCACCAUGACCAGCCCCUGCCACUUCACCCUGGUCACCGGUGAGUAC
This 259-nucleotide long non-coding RNA is filed under the name Homo sapiens (human). RNAcentral's name for it is "non-protein coding lnc-TP53TG3F-13:1". Lineage: Eukaryota; Metazoa; Chordata; Mammalia; Primates; Hominidae. The record is from RNAcentral.